UAUGAACGCUAGCUACAGGCUUAACACAUGCAAGUCGAGGGGCAUCAGGAAGAAAGCUUGCUUUCUUUGCUGGCGACCGGCGCACGGGUGAGUAACACGUAUCCAACCUGCCCUUUACUCGGGGAUAGCCUUUCGAAAGAAAGAUUAAUACCCGAUAGCAUAAUGAUUCCGCAUGGUUUCAUUAUUAAAGGAUUCCGGUAAAGGAUGGGGAUGCGUUCCAUUAGGUUGUUGGUGAGGUAACGGCCCACCAAGCCUUCGAUGGAUAGGGGUUCUGAGAGAAAGGUCCCCCACAUUGGAACUGAGACACGGUCCAAACUCCUACGGGAGGCAGCAGUGAGGAGUAUUGGUCAAUGGGCGCUAGCCUGAACCAGCCAAGUAGCGUGAAGGAUGAAGGCUCUAUGGGUCGUAAACUUCUUUUAUAUAAGAAUAAAGUGCAGUAUGUAUACUGUUUUGUAUGUAUUAUAUGAAUAAGGAUCGGCUAACUCCGUGCCAGCAGCCGCGGUAAUACGGAGGAUCCGAGCGUUAUCCGGAUUUAUUGGGUUUAAAGGGAGCGUAGGUGGACUGGUAAGUCAGUUGUGAAAGUUUGCGGCUCAACCGUAAAAUUGCAGUUGAUACUGUCAGUCUUGAGUACAGUAGAGGUGGGCGGAAUUCGUGGUGUAGCGGUGAAAUGCUUAGAUAUCACGAAGAACUCCGAUUGCGAAGGCAGCUCACUGGACUGCAACUGACACUGAUGCUCGAAAGUGUGGGUAUCAAACAGGAUUAGAUACCCUGGUAGUCCACACAGUAAACGAUGAAUACUCGCUGUUUGCGAUAUACAGUAAGCGGCCAAGCGAAAGCAUUAAGUAUUCCACCUGGGGAGUACGCCGGCAACGGUGAAACUCAAAGGAAUUGACGGGGGCCCGCACAAGCGGAGGAACAUGUGGUUUAAUUCGAUGAUACGCGAGGAACCUUACCCGGGCUUAAAUUGCAGUGGAAUGAUGUGGAAACAUGUCAGUGAGCAAUCACCGCUGUGAAGGUGCUGCAUGGUUGUCGUCAGCUCGUGCCGUGAGGUGUCGGCUUAAGUGCCAUAACGAGCGCAACCCUUAUCUUUAGUUACUAACAGGUUAUGCUGAGGACUCUAGAGAGACUGCCGUCGUAAGAUGUGAGGAAGGUGGGGAUGACGUCAAAUCAGCACGGCCCUUACGUCCGGGGCUACACACGUGUUACAAUGGGGGGGUACAGAAGGCAGCUAGCGGGUGACCGUAUGCUAAUCCCAAAAUCCUCUCUCAGUUCGGAUCGAAGUCUGCAACCCGACUUCGUGAAGCUGGAUUCGCUAGUAAUCGCGCAUCAGCCACGGCGCGGUGAAUACGUUCCCGGGCCUUGUACACACCGCCCGUCAAGCCAUGGGAGCCGGGGGUACCUGAAGUACGUAACCGCAAGGAUCGUCCUAGGGUA
Molecule: ribosomal RNA, 1434 nt
Filed under: uncultured organism
Description: SSU rRNA
Rfam family: Bacterial small subunit ribosomal RNA
Source: RNAcentral